CCUACGGGAGGCUGCAGUGAGGAAUAUUGGUCAAUGGACGGAAGUCUGAACCAGCCAUGCCGCGUGCAGGAAGACGGCUCUAUGAGUUGUAAACUGCUUUUGUACAAGGGGAAACCUGAAUACGUGUAUUCAGCUGAAAGUACUGUACGAAUAAGGAUAGGCUAACUCCGUGCCAGCAGCCGCGGUAAUACGGAGGAUCCAAGCGUUAUCCGGAUUUAUUGGGUUUAAAGGGUGCGUAGGCGGAUUGAUAAGGUAGAGGUGAAAUGUCCGCGCUUACCUCGGGAACUGCCUCUAAUACUGUUGCUCUAGUGCGUAGCUGCGGUAGGCGCAAUGUAUGUUGUCGCUG
This 346-nucleotide ribosomal RNA is filed under the name uncultured bacterium. RNAcentral's name for it is "partial 16S ribosomal RNA". It matches the Rfam family "Bacterial small subunit ribosomal RNA", at positions 338 to 681 of the family's 1533-position model. The record is from RNAcentral.